UUUACACUGUUUUAGGUAAGUUUAGUCGCUAAAAUCACACAAAUAUUACAUACAAAUGUUCCUGGCGCGUUUCUUACUUGUUAUUGACAUGUUUCAAUUAAAUUUAUUUUAUAGAAAUGGUUUAGUGUCUUCGAAAAAGUCCGUUAGCAUCUUAGCAGUUUUCAGGAGGACAGAAAUAAACUCUACAGAACAGAAGUGAAUCUCCAAGAUUUCAACAUUUCUGAAGGGAGAUAACGUUACUGACUUAGAAAUACAGGGUUGGCCUGAUUGAUGAUGCCAUCGCCCAUCGCCGAUGGCUGAUAGACAUCACGAUGCUGCGCCGGCAAACAGCGUCAUCAGCUCUAGUAUCUCGCCCGUGCAUCUGUUGUCAUGCGACAGAGAAGUCACGUUCUAUAGACAGUUUCUAUAGACAGUUGUGAACGUGCUGACAGCUGGUUGCCCAGGCUAUGGAUUAAAGGUAAUACUGUUGUAAGUAGUGUUCAUUUUCUCCUAAAUACCGAUCAUUUCGCUUCAUUAGACCUCAAUGUAUCACCAGUAGCCACCGGUAUUGAUUUGGUCUUUUUUUUUUUCUGGACAUCCACACAGCACCACAGUAUUAUCAACUAGAGAUCAACCGAUAGUGGAUUUUUCCAAUACUGAUAGCUAGUUUGGACCACACUGGCCGAUACCGAUUUAUAAACCAAUAGUUUUUAAAAUGAAUACUGAACAAAAUGGAUACUGAAUGAGAGCAGCGGUCUGCGGUCGCGCUGUGGGUUCCCGGGUUUGUGUCCAUUCUCGGACCAUUCCAUGUAUUUCAACUGUAGAAAAGGUUGUUCCGAGCCGAAACUGACUUCUUCCAUAUUUGUCGACCAAUAUACAGAAAACUACAUCAGUAUAUCAUCAUAAACACAAACUUUUUUGUCUUACAUGAAUGUAAACAGAUGAGAAAGAAAACACACA
Molecule: long non-coding RNA, 939 nt
Organism: Carassius gibelio (silver crucian carp)
Lineage: Eukaryota; Metazoa; Chordata; Actinopteri; Cypriniformes; Cyprinidae
Exons: 3
Source: RefSeq, a predicted model, not a curated record